UACGUAGGGGGCAAGCGUUGUCCGGAAUCAUUGGGCGUAAAGCGCGUGUAGGCGGCCCGAUAAGUCCGCUGUGAAAGUCGGGGGCUCAACCCUCGGAUGCCGGUGGAUACUGUCGGGCUCGAGUACGGAAGAGGCGAGUGGAAUUCCUGGUGUAGCGGUGAAAUGCGCAGAUAUCAGGAGGAACACCAAUUGCGAAGGCAGCUCGCUGGGACGUUACUGACGCUGAGACGCGAAAGCGUGGGGAGCAAACAGG
RNAcentral lists this ribosomal RNA (253 nucleotides) under uncultured bacterium. RNAcentral's name for it is "partial 16S ribosomal RNA". It matches the Rfam family "Bacterial small subunit ribosomal RNA", at positions 524 to 776 of the family's 1533-position model. The record is from RNAcentral.